GAUGAAGAACGUAGCGAAAUGCGAUAAGUAGUGUGAAUUGCAGAAUUCCGUGAAUCAUCGAAUCUUUGAACGCACAUUGCGCCUCCUUGUAGUCCGGGAGGCAUGCCUGUUCGAGCGUCACCAAAUCCAACUCAAGCGGUUUUGCGCUUGGUCGUGGCGGAAGAGUCGGUCUGGUUGCCGUCUCCCCUCCGAAAAUCAACGGCGGAAAGUCACUGGCAGUCAGCGUAGUAGUAUCGUUCGCCGAACAUCCAGUGGCAUUCCUGCCGACGUACCCCCACAAUUCUCGUGAUUGACCUCGGAUCAGGUAGGGAUACCCGCUGAACUUAAGCAUAUCAAUAAGCGGAGGA
Molecule: unclassified non-coding RNA, 347 nt
Filed under: soil metagenome
Description: partial contains 5.8S ribosomal RNA, internal transcribed spacer 2, and large subunit ribosomal RNA
Rfam family: 5.8S ribosomal RNA (bases 1-120)
Source: RNAcentral